CGCCACNCUCUCGCAUGAAGCUAAAAACCAAGGCUUGGCGGUUCUUUACACCCCUCUAGAGGAGCCUGUUCUAUAACCGAUACUCCCCGUUUAACCUCACCCCUCCUUACCCCGUAGCCCAUAUACCACCGUCUUCAGUUUACCCAGUGAUGGACCAACAGUAAUCACAAUCGGCAUAGCCCAGAACGUCAGGUCGAGGUGUGGCUCAUGGAGGGGGAAGAAAUGGGCUACAUUCACUAGCAUAGUGCAUACGAAUGACGCAUUGAAACCCAUGCGUACUGAAGGAGGAUUUAGUAGUAAGUGGUAACUAGAGUGUACCACUGAAUCGGGCUCUGAAGAACGCACACAUCGCCCCGUCACUCUCAA
Molecule: ribosomal RNA, 366 nt
Filed under: Trichiurus japonicus (largehead hairtail)
Lineage: Eukaryota; Metazoa; Chordata; Actinopteri; Scombriformes; Trichiuridae
Description: partial 12S ribosomal RNA
Source: RNAcentral